ACGCUCGACACCUACGGGAGGUAGCAGUGGGGAAUAUUGCACAAUGGGGGAAACCCUGAUGCAGCGACGCCGCGUGAGUGAAGAAGUAUUUCGGUAUGUAAAGCUCUAUCAGCAGGGAAGAAAAUGACGGUACCUGACUAAGAAGCCCCGGCUAACUACGUGCCAGCAGCCGCGGUAAUCUGAGCGGGCUGGCAAGGC
Molecule: ribosomal RNA, 198 nt
Filed under: uncultured bacterium
Lineage: Bacteria
Description: partial 16S ribosomal RNA
Rfam family: Bacterial small subunit ribosomal RNA
Source: RNAcentral